AAGGAGUCUAACACAUGCGCAAGUAUUAGGGUGGAAAACCCAUGUGCGUAAUGAAAGUGAUAAGGUGGGAACGUUGUGCACCGUCGACCGGCCUUGAAAUUUAUUGAGAGAUCUGCGUAAGAGCAUGUCUGUUAGGACCCGAAAGAUGGUGAACUAUGCCUGAAUAGGGCGAAGCCAGAGGAAACUCUGGUGGAGGCUCGUAGCGAUUCUGACGUGCAAAUCGAUCGUCAAAUUUGGGUAUAGGGGCGAAAGACUAAUCGAACCAUCUAGUAGCUGGUUCCCUC
This 284-nucleotide unclassified non-coding RNA is filed under the name uncultured fungus. RNAcentral's name for it is "partial contains 5.8S rRNA, ITS2 and 28S rRNA". It matches the Rfam family "Eukaryotic large subunit ribosomal RNA", at positions 668 to 961 of the family's 3401-position model. Lineage: Eukaryota; Fungi. The record is from RNAcentral.